RNAcentral lists this unclassified non-coding RNA (382 nucleotides) under Melitaea cinxia (Glanville fritillary). RNAcentral describes it as "misc RNA ENSMCXG00005003295.1". Lineage: Eukaryota; Metazoa; Arthropoda; Insecta; Lepidoptera; Nymphalidae. The record is from RNAcentral.
GCUAUAAAUCGUUGUAAAGUUCCCUCGACUAUCUUUCGUCUCCAUCAUCAGACUUUAAUGGCACUUGUAACUCAUAUAGGUGCAAAGUUCUCAUCAAUAGAAACGAAUUAAGUUCAAACAGCAGGUAAUUGCUAUAAGUCGUUGAAGAGUACCCUCGACUAUCUUUCGUCUCCAUCAUCAGACUUUAAUGGCACUUGUAACUCAUAUAGGUGCAAAGUUCUCAUCAAUAGAAACGAAUUAAGUUCAAACAGCAGGUAAUUGCUAUAAGUCGUUGAAGAGUACCCUCGACUAUCUUUCGUCUCCAUCAUCAGACUUUAAUGGCACUUGUAACUCAUAUAGGUGCAAAGUUCUCAUUAAUAGAAACGAAUUAAGUUCAAACAGC